Long non-coding RNA from Passer domesticus (house sparrow), 1265 nucleotides. RefSeq lists it as uncharacterized. The transcript is spliced from 3 exons. The record is from RefSeq and is a predicted model, not a curated record. Lineage: Eukaryota; Metazoa; Chordata; Aves; Passeriformes; Passeridae.
UCUUUACUAGCAAUUGAAUAAUUCCUAAGUUGUGAAAUUACUUUAAAAAAAAAUAAAUCAAAAGAGACUCACAAAUCCAGUUACCCAAAAUAAGAUAACAGAAAUCACAACUUCUACAUCUGCAACAUCAGGCUGAGCAACUAUCAGAAACAAUGGCAUGAUGAUGGCUCUGAGAAAACAGCUUUAGUGUCUGGGGUAGCAACAAGAUUGCACCAGAAGGAAUCAUGAGGAAGACAGACACAUUGAUUUUGGAAAUCACGGAGACUUAUCACAGCAAAAUAUUAUUCAGAACUGCAUGAUCAUAAAUUAAGUUUUCAUAAGCAUUUAGGAAAUUACAUUCUAGCUAAUUCUUAAAAUUGGUUAGAUCACAACCAAAGACACUUUCCUUAUUUCAAGACAUGAAAGAUGAAAUGAACAGAAUGGACCAUUCCACAGCUGAACACUUCCAAGAAUAAAUGGAUUCUAUAUUUGUCUCUGCCACAGACUUCCACAAAAGCCUGUAUGCUGUCUUGUCCACAAAUACCUCAACUAGAAGCCUGAAUCUCUGCUACUGAGAACACAGGCCAACCAGAAGACUCAGAACUGGAGAUGGCUGAACUGACAUGUCCUGACUCCCAAAAAUGUGGGAAAGAGUCAGAGUCUGCAAAUCCUUCAGCCCCACAGCUAGAAAGUGCAGCCACACUGAGAUCCAGAUACUUCUCCUGAAGAAAGCAUUUAAGGACUUCCUCCUUCUGGUAGACCUGGACAGCCACUGCACACAAGGCUUCCUGCAGCAAAACCACACUUUUUUUUGUCAGGGUCCUAGGUGCACCAAGAUUCCUUACGGGUGUUGAUGAAACUCACCUGGGGCUUCUCCCACCACCCUUCUCAGGGUCUAGGACUCCAUUUCAACUCAGUCCAGAAUGAUCAAUCCCUGAGCUAGAGAUGCCACAGGAGUGCAGCCUCUAGCCCUGCCUCUUGUCUGGACUUCAGAUCCACAUUGCAGUCUUGUCUCCAACCCUGUCUCUGGCCUCAUCUCCUUGUGUUCCCAUAUGGAUACCCUGGAUGAAUCCUGGAUCUGGGUCAUCACUCCUCCAGUCUCGAGCUGCUGAUGUAGCCUGUUACCAGCACCUAGCUAUGCCCAAGAUGUUUGGGUCUCAUUGGAAAGCACCCCAUUGGUUAGGGCACAGCCUGAAGUGGGGUGACCGUCAGCCCUGAGAUCCCUGUCCCACAAAGGAGAAUGCUGCUAAGGAGUAAUAGACAACCUACUCUUGGGUUCACUUAUA